UACGAAGGGGGCUAGCGUUGCUCGGAAUUACUGGGCGUAAAGCGUGCGCAGGCGGUUAUGUAAGACAGGGGUGAAAACUCGGGGCUUAACCCUGGGCCUGCAGUGGGUACGGGCAGACUAGAGUGCGGUAGGGGAGACUGGAAUUCCUGGUGUAGCGGUGAAAUGCGCAGAUAUCAGGAGGAACACCGGUGGCGAAGGCGGGUCUCUGGGCCGAUACUGACGCUGAGGAGCGAAAGCAUGGGUAGCGAACAGG
This 253-nucleotide ribosomal RNA is filed under the name uncultured bacterium. RNAcentral's name for it is "partial 16S ribosomal RNA". It matches the Rfam family "Bacterial small subunit ribosomal RNA", at positions 524 to 776 of the family's 1533-position model. The record is from RNAcentral.